This 433-nucleotide ribosomal RNA is filed under the name uncultured bacterium. RNAcentral's name for it is "partial 16S ribosomal RNA". It matches the Rfam family "Bacterial small subunit ribosomal RNA", at positions 29 to 507 of the family's 1533-position model. The record is from RNAcentral.
AACGAACGCUGGCGGCAUGCCUAUCACAUGCAAGUCGAACGAGACCUUCGGGUCUAGUGGCGCACGGGUGCGUAACGCGUGGUAACCUGCCCUUAGGUUCGGAAUAACUCCCCGAAAGGUGUGCUAAUACCGGAUAAUGUCUUCGGACCAAAGAUUUAUCGCCUUUGGAUGGGCCCGCGUUGGAUUAGCUAGUUGGUAGGGUAAAAGCCUACCAAGGCGACGAUCCAUAGCUGGUCUGAGAGGAUGAUCAGCCACACUGGGACUGAGACACGGCCCAGACUCCUACGGGAGGCAGCAGUGGGGAAUAUUGGACAAUGGGCGAAAGCCUGAUCCAGCAAUGCCGCGUGAGUGAUGAAGGCCUUAGGGUUGUAAAGCUCUUUUACCCGGGAUGAUAAUGACAGUACCGGGAGAAUAAGCUCCGGCUAACUCGGUG